UACAGAGGGUGCGAGCGUUGUCCGGAAUCACUGGGCGUAAAGGGUGCGUAGGUGGCGAGCCAAGUCCAUGGUGAAAGCUCGAUGCUCAACAUCGAGUCGGCCACGGAUACUGGUGCGCUUGAGCACUGUAGAGGCUAAUGGAAUUCCGGGUGUAGCGGUGGAAUGCGUAGAGAUCCGGAAGAACACCAAUGGCGAAAGCAGCUUUCUGGGACGGUACUGACGCUGAGACGCGAAAGCGUGGGGAGCGAACAGG
Molecule: ribosomal RNA, 253 nt
Filed under: uncultured bacterium
Lineage: Bacteria
Description: partial 16S ribosomal RNA
Rfam family: Bacterial small subunit ribosomal RNA
Source: RNAcentral